This 497-nucleotide ribosomal RNA is filed under the name uncultured bacterium. RNAcentral describes it as "partial 16S ribosomal RNA". It matches the Rfam family "Bacterial small subunit ribosomal RNA", at positions 28 to 507 of the family's 1533-position model. The record is from RNAcentral.
GAUGAACGCUGGCGGCGUGCCUAAUACAUGCAAGUCGAGCGAACAGAUGAGGAGCUUGCUCCUCUGACGUUAGCGGCGGACGGGUGAGUAACACGUGGAUAACCUACCUAUAAGACUGGGAUAACUUCGGGAAACCGGAGCUAAUACCGGAUAAUAUAUUGAACCGCAUGGUUCAAUAGUGAAAGACGGUUUUGCUGUCACUUAUAGAUGGAUCCGCGCCGCAUUAGCUAGUUGGUAAGGUAACGGCUUACCAAGGCAACGAUGCGUAGCCGACCUGAGAGGGUGAUCGGCCACACUGGAACUGAGACACGGUCCAGACUCCUACGGGAGGCAGCAGUAGGGAAUCUUCCGCAAUGGGCGAAAGCUUGACGGAGCAACGCCGCGUGAGUGAUGAAAGUCUUCGGAUCGUAAAACUCUGUUAUUAGGGAAGAACAAAUGUGUAAGUAACUAUGCACGUCUUGACGGUACCUAAUCAGAAAGCCACGGCUAACUACGUG